RNAcentral lists this ribosomal RNA (253 nucleotides) under uncultured bacterium. RNAcentral describes it as "partial 16S ribosomal RNA". It matches the Rfam family "Bacterial small subunit ribosomal RNA", at positions 524 to 776 of the family's 1533-position model. The record is from RNAcentral.
UACGUAGGGUGCAAGCGUUGUCCGGAAUUAUUGGGCGUAAAGAGCUCGUAGGCGGUUUGUCGCGUCUGCUGUGAAAACUCGAGGCUCAACCUCGAGACGCCGGUGGAAACCAUCAGACUAGAGUCCGGAAGAGGAGAGUGGAAUUCCUGGUGUAGCGGUGAAAUGCGCAGAUAUCAGGAAGAACACCCGUGGCUAAGGCGGCUCUCUAGUACGGUACUGACGCUGAGACGCGAAAGCGUGGGGAGCGAACAGG